AAUGCACUCCCUCGGCCCGGAAAUACUUAUGAUCAAAAUGGAUAAAAAGGGAUGUAUCUCAACGUAUUUUAGUCUCAGAUACAACUCAUUUUCUCCACUUUGAUGACAAGUAUUUUCGGACGGAGGAAGUAUCAU
Molecule: non-coding RNA, 135 nt
Organism: Triticum aestivum (bread wheat)
Lineage: Eukaryota; Viridiplantae; Streptophyta; Magnoliopsida; Poales; Poaceae
Source: Rfam